CUACUAUGUUCAGAGUUUGAUCCUGGCUCAGAACGAACGCUGGCGGCAUGGAUUAGGCAUGCAAGUCGAACGAAGCAGCAAUGCUUAGUGGCGGAAGGGUGAGGAACGCGUGAGUAAUCUGCCCUCAAGUUGGGAAUAACAGUUGGAAACGACUGCUAAUACCGAAUGUGGCUUCUGAACCGCAUGGUUCUAAGGCUAAAGAUUUAUUGCUUGAGGAUGAGCUCGCGUCCCAUUAGCUAGUUGGUGAGGUAACGGCUCACCAAGGCGAUGAUGGGUAGCUGGUCUGAGAGGAUGGUCAGCCACACUGGGACUGAGACACUGCCCAG
Molecule: ribosomal RNA, 326 nt
Filed under: uncultured bacterium
Lineage: Bacteria
Description: bacterial SSU rRNA
Rfam family: Bacterial small subunit ribosomal RNA
Source: RNAcentral